This 409-nucleotide ribosomal RNA is filed under the name uncultured bacterium. Its description in RNAcentral is "bacterial SSU rRNA". It matches the Rfam family "Bacterial small subunit ribosomal RNA", at positions 28 to 430 of the family's 1533-position model. The record is from RNAcentral.
GAUGAACGCUAGCGGCAGGCUUAACACAUGCAAGUCGAGGGGCAGCAUGAAGGUUAGCAAUAACUUUUGAUGGCGACCGGCGCAAGGGUGCGUAACGCGUGAGCAACUUGCCCGUUUCUGGGGGAUAACCGGUGGAAACGCCGACUAAUACCCCAUAGCAUUGAUUUCAGGCAUCUGUUAUCAAUUAAGAAUUUCGGAAACGGAUAGGCUCGCGUGACAUUAGCUAGAUGGCGGGGUAACGGCCCACCAUGGCGACGAUCAGUAGCCGGUCUGAGAGGAUGAACGGCCACAUUGGGACUGAGAUACGGCCCAGACUCCUACGGGAGGCAGCAGUGGGGAAUAUUGGGCAAUGACGCAAGUCUGACCCAGCAACGCCGCGUUGAAGGAAGAAGGCUUUCGGGUUGUAAAC